Molecule: transfer RNA, 68 nt
Filed under: Marmota monax (woodchuck)
Lineage: Eukaryota; Metazoa; Chordata; Mammalia; Rodentia; Sciuridae
Description: tRNA.Ser
Rfam family: tRNA (bases 5-65)
About the family: Transfer RNA (tRNA) molecules are approximately 80 nucleotides in length. Their secondary structure includes four short double-helical elements and three loops (D, anti-codon, and T loops).
Source: RNAcentral
GGAUUGUGGCUCAGCGGUAAAGUGCUCGCUUAGAACGUGUGAGACCCUGAGUUCAAUCCUCAGCACCA